GCCGCCUUAGCUCAGUUGGUUAGAGCGCUUGAUUGUGGAUCAAGAGGUCCCCCGUUCGAACCGGGGAGGUGGUACCA
This 77-nucleotide transfer RNA is filed under the name Actibacterium lipolyticum. RNAcentral's name for it is "Confluentimicrobium lipolyticum tRNA-His". It matches the Rfam family "tRNA". From Rfam's summary of the family: Transfer RNA (tRNA) molecules are approximately 80 nucleotides in length. Their secondary structure includes four short double-helical elements and three loops (D, anti-codon, and T loops). The record is from RNAcentral. RNAcentral also lists the same sequence under 2 other names. Lineage: Bacteria; Pseudomonadati; Pseudomonadota; Alphaproteobacteria; Rhodobacterales; Roseobacteraceae.